UACGUAGGUGGCAAGCGUUAUCCGGAUUUAUUGGGCGUAAAGGGAACGCAGGCGGUCUUUUAAGUCUGAUGUGAAAGCCUUCGGCUUAACCGGAGUAGUGCAUUGGAAACUGGGAGACUUGAGUGCAGGAGAGGAGAGUGGAACUCCAUGUGUAGCGGUGAAAUGCGUAGAUAUAUGGAAGAACACCAGUGGCGAAAGCGGCUCUCUGGUCUGUAACUGACGCUGAGGUUCAAAAGCGUGGGUAGCAAACAGG
RNAcentral lists this ribosomal RNA (253 nucleotides) under uncultured bacterium. RNAcentral describes it as "partial 16S ribosomal RNA". It matches the Rfam family "Bacterial small subunit ribosomal RNA", at positions 524 to 776 of the family's 1533-position model. The record is from RNAcentral.